GCGGGGAUAGCUCAGUUGGGAGAGCGUCAGACUGAAGUAGCACUUCAGCCUCAAAUAUCUGAAGGUCACCGGUUCAAUCCCGGUUCACCGCA
RNAcentral lists this transfer RNA (92 nucleotides) under Pseudovirgaria hyperparasitica. It matches the Rfam family "tRNA". From Rfam's summary of the family: Transfer RNA (tRNA) molecules are approximately 80 nucleotides in length. Their secondary structure includes four short double-helical elements and three loops (D, anti-codon, and T loops). Further hydrogen bonds mediate the characteristic L-shaped molecular structure. tRNAs have two regions of fundamental functional importance: the anti-codon, which is responsible for specific mRNA codon recognition, and the 3' end, to which the tRNAs corresponding amino acid is attached (by aminoacyl-tRNA synthetases). tRNAs cope with the degeneracy of the genetic code in two manners: having more than one tRNA (with a specific anti-codon) for a particular amino acid; and 'wobble' base-pairing, i.e. permitting non-standard base-pairing at the 3rd anti-codon position. The record is from Rfam by way of RNAcentral. Lineage: Eukaryota; Fungi; Ascomycota; Dothideomycetes; Acrospermales; Acrospermaceae.